GUAUUGUAUGUUAUUCCUGACAAAAAAGGAUGCUGGUUAUGGCCCCUUUAUCUUUCUUUGGUAUCCCAAAAGAUGUUGGUCAUAUGCUGAUGUUAUAUAUUUGCUCUUUGAGAAGAAAAAACUCCCUUUAAUCGAUUGAUUUAUAUGUUGGAUGUGUGGGAAAAGGAUGAUAGGAAUGUUGUUUUGUUCAAUUAUGAAUGAGCAGUUGAAAAAAAAUAAGUGGGUCUAAAAAGAGGUUUUUAAAGGGUAAAUACAAACAAAUAUUUUUGUGUUCUCUUGUGCUGUGGCCUUUUAUCUGCAAGGAUAAUCUGGUAUUUGAAGGAAUUGCUUUUAUUAAUACACUUGAUUAAUUAGCAUUAAAUUGAUUUGAGGGGCUGGAGGAGUGGAGAAAUUACAACUACAUGUACAUUGGAAGGAACAAAAGAUAUUGGUCUAGUUGUCUAGUUGACCAGAUGUUAUGAUUUUGUUAGGGUACGUUGCAAUUCAUUAUCUUCAAAUUUUGGUUUGCAGGAGUGAAUCAUGUUUAGAUGUCAUGGAGUGG
This 541-nucleotide unclassified non-coding RNA is filed under the name Hevea brasiliensis (rubber tree). The record is from RNAcentral. Lineage: Eukaryota; Viridiplantae; Streptophyta; Magnoliopsida; Malpighiales; Euphorbiaceae.